UUGACCUCGGAUCAGGUAGGAAUACCCGCUGAACUUAAGCAUAUCAAUAAGCGGAGGAAAAGAAACCAACAGGGAUUGCCUCAGUAACGGCGAGUGAAGCGGCAACAGCUCAAAUUUGAAAUCUGGCCUUACGGUCCGAGUUGUAAUUUGUAGAGGAUGUUUUGGGCACCGCUCCGGGUUAAAUUUCUUGGAACAGAAUGUCAAAGAGGGUGAGAGUCCCGUCUUGGCCCGCGGUAGGACCUAUGUAAAACUCCUUCGACGAGUCGACUUGUUUGGGAAUGCAGGUCCAAAUGGGUGGUAAAUUUCAUCUAAAGCUAAAUAUUGGCCAGAGACCGAUAGCGCACAAGUAGAGUGAUCGAAAGAUGAAAAGCACUUUGAAGAGAGAGUUAAACAGUAUGUGAAAUUGUUGAAAGGGAAGCGCUGGCAACCAGACUCGAGCGCGGUGUUCCCCUUGGCUUCUGCCUUGGUUAUUUCACCGUGACCGGGCCAUCAUCAGUUUUGGGGGUUGGUUAAAGAUCUGGGGAAUGUAUCCUCUCUUUCGGGGGAGGACUUAUAGCCCUGGAUGUCAUGCAGCCUCCCGGGACUGAGGAACGCGCUUCGGCGAGGAUGAUGGCGUAAUGGUUGUCAGCGACCCGUCUUGAAACACGGACCAAGGAGUCUAACAUCUAUGCGAGUGUUCGGGUGUCAAACCCUUGCGCGGAAUGAAAGUGAACGGAGGUAGGAAGGCCUGAGCCUGCACUAUCGACCGAUCCUGAUGUCUUCGGAUGGAUUUGAGUAAGAGCAUAGCUGUUGGGACCCGAAAGAUGGUGAACUAUGCGUGAAUAGGGUGAAGCCAGAGGAAACUCUGGUGGAGGCUCGCAGCGGUUCUGACGUGCAAAUCGAUCGUCAAAUUUGCGUAUAGGGGCGAAAGACUAAUCGAACCAUUGGUAAUCACUACUAGGUGGUUAAGAGUCAAGUGUGAAAAGCACUGGCUAGUCGUGGGUCCACGGCAAGGUCGUCAAAUUGCGGGAACACCCUAAAGCCUGAGGUACCGCCGACCGUCCCGAAAGGGCGACUGGCACCACGGAGAGAUUUCGUGGGUAUGGUAACAAUCCAAAGGAUGGUCCAGGUCAAGUCCUGGGCCGCUGUAAUGGGCAAUCCGCAGCCAAGCCUGUUUCCUCCCUCCCUCCCUCUCAUGGGGGUGUGGUACGGGGGAGAUUGGGUGCAGUUCAUCGACUAGAUGUCGACCGGGUUCCGGGCUUGUUUCCACAAGUCCAGGGCCUCAAGAUAUAGUCAGGCCCCCGGGGAGACCCGGGCGAGGGGAUGAAGUAGGGAGGAUUGGACCCGGUACCACGUCUACCAGACGUGACGGUCCUGCCUACCCGAAUCCCUUUGGCUGGUCCAUUUGGACCGGUGGAUGAAAGCUGGUAGCUGGUUCCUGCCGAAGUUUCCCUCAGGAUAGCAGUAACGUUUUCAGUUUUAUGAGGUAAAGCGAAUGAUUAGAGGCCUUGGGGUUGAAACAACCUUAACCUAUUCUCAAACUUUAAAUAUGUAAGAAGUCCUUGUUACUUAGUUGAACGUGGACAUUUGAAUGUAUCGUUACUAGUGGGCCAUUUUUGGUAAGCAGAACUGGCGAUGCGGGAUGAACCGAACGCGAGGUUAAGGUGCCGGAAUGCACGCUCAUCAGACACCACAAAAGGUGUCAAUGCAUCUAGACAGCCGGACGGUGGCCAUGGAAGUCGGAAUCCGCUUAGGAGUGUGUAACAACUCACCGGCCGAAUGCAUUGGCCAUGAAAAUGGAUGGCG
RNAcentral lists this ribosomal RNA (1785 nucleotides) under Chaetothyriales sp. Mcamp5. RNAcentral's name for it is "eukaryotic LSU rRNA". It matches the Rfam family "Eukaryotic large subunit ribosomal RNA", at positions 1 to 1327 of the family's 3401-position model. The record is from RNAcentral. Lineage: Eukaryota; Fungi; Ascomycota; Eurotiomycetes; Chaetothyriales.